AUGAGAGUUAAUAUAAAAGGUUUAUUAACUUGCUUGACUAGGUCUUAUAAAAUUCUAGAUAAAGCUGAUAAUGACAACUUUAUAUCUAUAGGUCUCGACAAAAUCUUGUGCCAGCAGUCGCGGUAAGACAAGGGAGACAAGUGUUAUUCAUCUUUAACAGGUAUAUAGGGUACCUAGACUGUGUACAAAGGCUUGUAAGAGUACCUGUUACACUAGAGUUUAAUAUGUGAGAGGAAUAUGUCAGAAUUGUUGGUGUAGAGAUAAAAUUCUUUGAUACUAAUAGGACUGAUAAUGGCGAAGGCAAACCUCUAUGUAUACAUACUUUAUAAACUUAAAUAUAAAGUAUACGAACUGACGUUGAGGGACGAAGGCUCAGAGAGUGAAGAGGAUUAGAUACCCCCGUAGCCUGGGCAGACAAUGAUGAGUGUCAUAGGUUGGCUUUUAGGCUGAACUAUAAAUGAAAGUGUAAGCACUCCACCUCAAGAGUAAUGUGGCAACGCAGGAACUGAAAUCAUUAGACCGUUUCUGAAACCAGUAGUGAAGUAUGUUAUUUAAUUCGAUGAUCCGCGAAUAACCUUACCACAAUUUGAAUGCUCUAAAGGAUUACUGUUAGUGUACACACUAAUAGUAACGAAUUAGAUCACAUGCGUUGCAUGGCUGUCUUCAGUUAAUGUCGUGAGAUUUGGUUAGGUCCAUUAAAUUAACGUAAACCCUUGCUUUAUUUGAUAUAAUAUGGCAGUUCACCGCUUAGAAUGGAUAUGAAAUAGG
Molecule: ribosomal RNA, 768 nt
Filed under: fungal sp.
Lineage: Eukaryota; Fungi
Description: mitochondrial SSU rRNA
Rfam family: Bacterial small subunit ribosomal RNA
Source: RNAcentral